GUCUUGGCGUAAUCCAUUCUUAUUUCUAAAUUCAGUAUAAUUAUAAGUGUAAGUACCACAGAACAGAUUUAGUGUACGGACUGUUAGAAUGGCUGCAGGUUGAUACACCAUAUAUAUAAGUAUAGCACGUACGUUGUAUGUUUCUUUUACAAUGGUAUUUAACCCUUUUAUUAUCCAUAAAAUUCCAAAAUAACACAUAACUACAGUUCUAUCCUAAACAUUGAAAAAGAA
This 231-nucleotide long non-coding RNA is filed under the name Mytilus galloprovincialis (Mediterranean mussel). Lineage: Eukaryota; Metazoa; Mollusca; Bivalvia; Mytilida; Mytilidae. The record is from RNAcentral.